Molecule: long non-coding RNA, 1596 nt
Filed under: Rattus norvegicus (Norway rat)
Lineage: Eukaryota; Metazoa; Chordata; Mammalia; Rodentia; Muridae
Description: long non-coding RNA NONRATT006465
Source: RNAcentral
UGUGCUUUAAUCAGCCGCUUGUCAGUAACUGUCUCCUACCUGUAGCGUGCUGUGACGGAAGGAGACUGCGUAGCACCCCUGUCUGUCCCUUGGGGGUAGAUUUCACAGGGAGCAACUUGGGUGUACUUAUCUGUGGAAAGAAACUUUGAAAACAGUGUUUCCAGAUAAGUAUUUUGAGCCAUAAGAAAUAGGAUUUGGGUUCUUCCUGACUCCCUCAAAAUGACAGCUUCAAAAGGUUUGACUCCCAUCUCUGAUACUAGGGAAUUUGGCACACCCCUGAGAAUCUGUACUGCUCCAUGGCUAGUAGCAAGGGUGUGCACACAUAUCUUCUUUUCUACAUCUCACUCACUCAAAGGUGUGCACACACCUCUUCUACAGCUCACUCCUGCAAAGGUGUGCACACAUCUCUUCUACACUCACACAGAGGUGUGCACACAUCUCUUCUACAGCUCACUCCUGCAAAGGUGUGCACACAUCUCUUCUACACUCACACAGAGGUGUGCACACAUUUCUGCUCCUCUACAGCUCACUCACGCCUUGUAAAUCAUGUCCGGGUGGUGAGGGGAAGGUUGAUAGGUGCUUUGCCCAUGACUGUUACUGCAUACUGUAAAUGAUUUUAAGUUUUGCAGAGUGAUCAUUUGGCUCGCCUGCACUAUGAAUCUUGCGGAAUUUUUUGUCUGUUGCAUUUACUGGGACAACAACUGUGAAAGUGUUAGAUUUGUUCCCACAGUCCGCGCCCUACUGAGUAGCAGCAGGGGACAUAAAGAGGAGCAUGAUGGGAGGACGCAUCCCACCCAGCACAGAGAUGGACAGUGUGAUACUAACGGAGGAAAAGAACAGCCACGAAUACGUCAGCUAGAUCGACAGCCCACAGAACCGUAGAAAACACCAGUUCCCUCAAUAAUAACUUUAAAUGGUACUAGCAUCAACUCACCCGUUAAAGGAUGCAGACUAACUGGGUUAGAAAGUAAGAGCCAACUAUCUGCCACCUUAAACACACUUCCCUGGCAAAGAGGUCAGGAAGCUAGGUCAAAGGAUAAAAGUCAGCCUACCCAGAAAAUGGAGGAUGGGAAGAGCCGGCAUGACCAAUCUCAUACCAGAACUAGUCAGAAGAGUAAAACUACUUCUGAUAGAACAGUUGUAAAUAUUGAUGUGCUGAAUCUUGGCCUUCCAACUUCUUGAAACAAACACUAAAGGCUCUCUUGCAGUCAUUACUUUAAUGCCCCAGGAGACUUUAAUACUCCACUCUUACUUUCAGACAGGUCUUCAAAACUCAGUCAGCAGAGUUAAAUCAUAUCGUAGGGCAAUUGGAAUUAACAGACAUUUAUAGGACAGGACGGUCUGUCCAACAGAUAAGAAAGCAUGUUCUUCUCAGUGCCCCCGGAGCUGCCCAUCAAACUUUUAAGGUACACCAACACUUCUCAACCUGUUCUGCCAAAGAGAAAGCAAAAGUACUUGUUCUGUAAAGGUAGUUUUACCCUGAUAUCAGCACCACAGAGGGACAGAACAAGGAGAAAAUGGCAGACCGUUUUCUCUGAUGAACAUAAAUAUAAAAAUUCUCAACAUUUGCAAACUGAAUUCAAGAAAAGUCAAGAG